RNAcentral lists this ribosomal RNA (490 nucleotides) under uncultured bacterium. RNAcentral's name for it is "partial 16S ribosomal RNA". It matches the Rfam family "Bacterial small subunit ribosomal RNA", at positions 30 to 507 of the family's 1533-position model. The record is from RNAcentral.
AUUGAACGCUGGCGGCAGGCCUAACACAUGCAAGUCGAACGGUAACAGGAAGCAUCUUGCUGCUUUGCUGACGAGUGGCGGGCGGGAUGGCUAUGUAUGUGAAACUGCGCGAUGGAGGGGGAUAGCUACUGGAAACUGUUACUACUACCGCAUAACGUGGCAAGACCAGAGAGGUUGACCUUAGACGCUCUUGGCUUCGCAUGGGCCCAGGUGGGAUUAGCUAGUAGGUGGGGUAACGGCUCACCUAGGCGACGAUCCCUACCUGGUCUGAGAGGAUGAACAGUCACACUGGAACUGAGACACGGUCCAGACUCCUACGGGAGGCAGCAGUGGGGAAUAUUGGACAAUGGGCGAAAGCCUGAUGCAGCCAUGCCGCGUGUAUGAAGAAGGUCUUCGGGUUGUAAAGUACUUUCAGCGGGGAGGAAGGGAGGAAAGUUAAUACCUUGCCUUAUUGACGUUACCAGCAGAAGAAGCACCGGCUAACUUCGUG